GUACGCUAUUCAGAGUUUGAUCCUGGCUCAGGAUAAACGCUGGCGGCGCACAUAAGACAUGCAAGUCGAACGGAAGUCGUUUAGUGAUUUAGAUAUGAAAGAUUUAUCCGGAUUUGAAGAUGAUCUAAAACAAUGGCUUUAGUGGCGGACUGGUGAGUAACACGUAAGCAACCUGCCUGUUAGAGGGGAAUAACAACGAGAAAUCGUUGCUAAUACCGCAUAUGCCAUAAGAACCACAUGGUUCUAGUGGGAAAGGAGUAAUCCGCUAACAGAUGGGCUUGCGUCUGAUUAGAUAGUUGGUGGGGUAACGGCCUACCAAGUCGACGAUCAGUAGCCGGACUGAGAGGUUCAACGGCCACAUUGGGACUGAGAUACGGCCCAG
Molecule: ribosomal RNA, 382 nt
Filed under: uncultured bacterium
Lineage: Bacteria
Description: bacterial SSU rRNA
Rfam family: Bacterial small subunit ribosomal RNA
Source: RNAcentral